AAACCAGUGUUCAUUUCUGCCGUCCUCUGGCUCCUGCCAUCCUGGGGAAUGGCCGUGCCCUUCACAAAACCCCUGAGCCGGUGGCAGCAGCCCCUCCUUGGUGGUCCUGCUCCCCCUUUCCUACUCAGACAGUGCCCCCGAGCCGUGAGUUGGCUCUGGAGCUCUGAGAAUAAACCCACCUCUGUUCUACCAGCUCUAGGGCUGGAGCCGCGACUGCUACCUGUCCAGAAUUCCUCGGGUGAUUUCCGUUUUCCUGCCUGGAACCUGCGCUGAUACGGAUGCAGAUGAGCACAGCCUGGUAGCCUGUGCAGGGCCACUGGCCUUGGGCAGAGGGCUGUGGGAGACCAGGCUGCAGCUCUGACCACGCCCUGGCCCUGCUGGGACGGUGGACCUUGCCUAUCAGUCGCUGUAUCUCUGUUGCAGAAAAUGCUGAAUUCAGGACUUGCCGCGGUAUAACGGGAGACAGAAGACAAAACAAAGGCGAACGAAGAAAAAGCACUUCACCGAACCAGCUUGGGGCGAGGCCUCCGAGCGGGAGUGGGCGGCCCCGCACUGCGCACCGUCGGCAGUGGGGGCGGCCCUCUGUCCUCACGGAACAGCCCCCCUGUCCUGACGGAGGGCGGCGAAUGCUUGGGGACAGCGGCAGUGUGCGUGGGCGACACAUCCGAGAAAGGGAGAUACUACAUUUCCUCCUGGAAACUCGGGAAGAAUGCCAGCGUAAGGAAGCUCCCAGACAGUGAGCGCUGUGGACCUGUGUUGUUCCAGAAUUCCUUGUACUGGCCCUGGCUGGUGUGGCUCAGUGGAUUGAACGCGGGCUGUGAACUGAAGCAUCGCAGGUUUGAUUCCCAGUCAGGGCACAUGCCUGGGUUGUAGGCCACGGCCCCCAGCAACCGCACACUGAUGUUUCUCUCUCUCUCUCUUU
Phyllostomus hastatus (greater spear-nosed bat) is the source of this 922-nucleotide long non-coding RNA. RefSeq lists it as uncharacterized. The transcript is spliced from 3 exons. The record is from RefSeq and is a predicted model, not a curated record. NCBI's taxonomy places the organism in Eukaryota, Metazoa, Chordata, Mammalia, Chiroptera, Phyllostomidae.